Nicotiana tabacum (common tobacco) is the source of this 869-nucleotide long non-coding RNA. RefSeq lists it as uncharacterized. Lineage: Eukaryota; Viridiplantae; Streptophyta; Magnoliopsida; Solanales; Solanaceae. The record is from RefSeq and is a predicted model, not a curated record.
UCGAAACACCCCCAUACCCCCAUGAACCCUCAUAGACUCGUCUAUCUUAUCCCUCUCUCAUCUCUCGCCAUCUGUCGCUGCCGAAAAUCGCCUAUGGCGGCGGCCCGUCGCCAAAUAACCCCAAAUCUUCACCCUAUGACUCCCACACUUCCCAAAUCCCAAAUCUCUUACCAAUUUCCCCAAAUAAUCACCCAAACUCCCCGAAUUUUAGAUCUAAGAGAUUAAGAAAACCUAGUUUUUCCCUUAUUUUUUUUUCUGAAUUCAAGCCAUCUUACGCUAUAGCUCACAUUAGUUGACUGCUUGUGUUAAGAAUUACCAAAUGAUUUUGGUUUCAUAUCAUUGGACAACCGUCAGUUUUGACCACUCAACCUCACUGGCUAGCCAUCGCUUUGUGUAGCAUUAGUUCUGCCUUUCAAGCGUGAAUCAAUGCUCACAUAUCGAUAUUGACUAUUGGUCGGAUUUUCUAAAGUUUGGCUCUGUUCAUCAGUAGGAACUGGUCUUACUUAAUUUCAUAUUGCUUGUAUCUUCAACUAGAAGUGAUUCCUGAUUCAAAAAUGCUUUCUGGUAUCGUCAUAUGAAAUACCUGCCAAACAUGUAUUAAUCUAAGAUUGUCUUGGGUUGAGGUUUCAAAGGAUUCAAGUUGGAAAUGGACUACUGAGUGUUAAAUGUAUGAAGAUAGAAGCAAGUGGAAUCAGCUACCUACAAUUGAGUUACUGUUGUAAUGAGUAAUUCAGUAGCCUUUUUAGUCAUGUUUGAGAAGGACAAUCCUCUAAAAAAUAGUUAUUGAUGUAAAAUUUCGAAUAUGAUUGCUUUGAUGUAAUGAAUUAAUUUUCUUUUACGUUCAUGAUUUGAGGCUAAAGGUUGCAUUA